This 1936-nucleotide long non-coding RNA is filed under the name Homo sapiens (human). RNAcentral describes it as "HSALNT0249445". The record is from RNAcentral. Lineage: Eukaryota; Metazoa; Chordata; Mammalia; Primates; Hominidae.
GGAUAAGAACCCCUUCCCCUCCCUUGUCCAAGUGUGUGCUCACCAUUGCUCCAUCUGUAAGGGUGUACCCUUCUGUAGAAGUACCUUGCCUUGCUGAGAAUUAAAAAGAAAAUUUUAUAUUCGAGUACUAGUUCUUUUGCAGCACCGAAACUUUAUUUAUAACAAUUUGGGGCCUCACCGGUGAUUACAUUAUCCUCCGGGGGCGGUCUCUGGUUCUCUCUUCUGAGGAGACAUGCCCCGCCCCCUUGUGGCGGCCUCGGGGGUGAGAACUCAAGACCCACUCAGUGCGAGGAAUAACCGCAGCUCUCAGCAACGCGCAGGGGAGGGGCUGGGGGGAGGGACUGGCCAGCAACCUAGCUUAAAGGAUCCUCAUAGACUGCAGCGACGAUUCUGUGCACAGACUAAGGAAGGAGAAGCUGCAGGAACCGGAAAACAAGCUUAUGUUACUAUAGAAGAAUGAGAGAUCACCUGGGCAAAUAUAAGACAUUUUAGAUGAUCCAUAAUAGAAUUACUAACCUCCAGUCUGUCUGCCAGCUCCACAAAGACACAAGAGCAAACCCAGAAAUUCUGAGAACCUUCCUUGAAAUCAUUGAACAGCAAAUGAACAAGCUGUUGCCAACCUGGGGUAGAAGACAGCAGAAUUCCAGCAAGUUUCCUGAAUGGAUUCCCAUUCACUGCUCUUGUUAAGCUGUGGAAUCCAUGUGGCCAGACCUAUGAUUGCUGUUUUUCUUCUCUUUGGCCAGGACUUGGGAGAGCUCUGGUAAGAGACAGGGAAACCUUUCCUUUCCCCUUCCCAGGGACUCAGUAAAUAUGCAGGCACCACAGCCAGGGUAUUCAUUGAUCAGAUGUACAUCCCUCCUCCACAACAGACAAAUUGAUCACUCUGGAUCACCAAGAAGAUCUACGUUGUUUACAUAAUAACAAUAGUGGGGUUUAUUACAGUGUAAUAUUGUAAUGACUUUUUGUCCAGGAAACUUGUGAACAUCCCAUUUUUAUCCACAAACUGUUAUUCUUUCCUGCAAGGUCCCCAAGGGAAGUAUACACACAAUAUAAUUAAAACACAACAAAGAAGCAUUCUACUGUGCGUUUACCAUACACUCUAAAGUGGAAUUUCAAGACACUAAGCGAAAGCAUACUUUAUUUUAAAUGUUAGAUAUGCUGGUAUGUUUUGUACAAUCAAAUACUUAUGAGACCUGUUCUCUCCAUUUGUCCUAGUGAGGCAGGAAAUUAAAGAAAAAUAAAAUUAAAAAGAGAAAUAAGUUUUCCUGUAUUAGGCUAACUUGUCCCAGGCAGCAACAGGCACAGCCCAGACCCAGGAAAAUUCUUGCUAAUAUUAUCUAAUGUGCUCUGGAGGCUCUCCCAGCAUUCCCUCAACAUACGGAGAAGAAAAACCAAAUUUUCCUUUAUUUUAUGGAAUGAGUUUAUAGAUUCCUGUUCUCUGUAACUAGUGACUUCAAGUAUUGUUUUAUCUAAGAAGUACAACGAAGGUCAUGAGAAGCCUGAGUAGGCCUGAACUACAGCUGCCUGGGCACCAUAGUGAAGGUUAUGGGAUAAGCCCGUGCCUAGGCAAACCUAGAUAACGGACAUCUGGGUUGCAUAGCAAUGGUUAUGUGCAAUCCUACGUUAUACACCUGUUACAAUUUGAUUAACUGUCUUUGUCCUGCCUCUGUAUCCCUGCUUUCACACCACUGUAAGCUUGCUUCAAGCUAGCCGACCCCCUUUUCUAAAGUGUAUAUAAAAGUCAAGUGCUGUCUUUGUUCUGGGCCCAGUCUUUGGACGUGAGUCUGCUGGGCCUGAGUGCACUCAAUAAAAGGUUCUCCUGUUUUAACCCGAGACCUCUCUUGUCCUCCUGGAUCCCGCAACAAUAGAGCCAAAAUCUUGGUCGUUGAAUUUUCUCCUUUAAUGGGACAAAGUCUUCAGGGGCCACCACUUCUCA